AUUGAACGCUGGCGGCAUGCUUUACACAUGCAAGUCGAACGGCAGCGCGGGCUUCGGCCUGGCGUCGAGUGGCGAACGGGUGAGUAAUACAUCGGAACGUGCCCAGUAGUGGGGGAUAGCUCGGCGAAAGCCGGAUUAAUACCGCAUACGACCUGAGGGUGAAAGCGGGGGAUCUUCGGACCUCGCGCUAUUGGAGCGGCCGAUGGCAGGUUAGCUAGUUGGUGGGGUAAAGGCCUACCAAGGCGACGAGCCGUAGCUGGUCUGAGAGGACGACCGGCCACACUGGGACUGAGACACGGCCCAGACUCCUACGGGAGGCAGCAUUGGGGAAUUUUGGACAAUGGGCGGAAGCCUGCUCCAGCAAUGCCGCGUGUGUGAUGAAGGCCUUCGGGUUGUAAAGAACUUUUGGCAGGGAAGAAAAGGACUGUGCUUAUACCACGAUUCGAUGACGGUACCCGCAAAAUAAGCACCGGCUAACUACGUG
RNAcentral lists this ribosomal RNA (484 nucleotides) under uncultured bacterium. Its description in RNAcentral is "partial 16S ribosomal RNA". It matches the Rfam family "Bacterial small subunit ribosomal RNA", at positions 29 to 507 of the family's 1533-position model. The record is from RNAcentral.